Molecule: ribosomal RNA, 433 nt
Filed under: uncultured bacterium
Lineage: Bacteria
Description: partial 16S ribosomal RNA
Rfam family: Bacterial small subunit ribosomal RNA
Source: RNAcentral
AGCGAACGCUGGCGGCAGGCCUAACACAUGCAAGUCGAACGGAUCCUUCGGGAUUAGUGGCGGACGGGUGAGUAACACGUGGGAACGUGCCCUUUGGUUCGGAACAACUCAGGGAAACUUGAGCUAAUACCGGAUGUGCCCUUCGGGGGAAAGAUUUAUCGCCAUUGGAGCGGCCCGCGUCUGAUUAGCUAGUUGGUGAGGUAACGGCCCACCAAGGCGACGAUCAGUAGCUGGUCUGAGAGGAUGAUCAGCCACACUGGGACUGAGACACGGCCCAGACUCCUACGGGAGGCAGCAGUGGGGAAUCUUGCGCAAUGGGCGAAAGCCUGACGCAGCCAUGCCGCGUGAAUGAUGAAGGUCUUAGAAUUGUAAAAUUCUUUCAGCGGGGACGAUAAUGACGGUACCCGCAGAAGAAGCUCCGGCUAACUUCGUG